Long non-coding RNA from Alosa sapidissima (American shad), 949 nucleotides. RefSeq lists it as uncharacterized. The record is from RefSeq and is a predicted model, not a curated record. The transcript is spliced from 3 exons. Lineage: Eukaryota; Metazoa; Chordata; Actinopteri; Clupeiformes; Clupeidae.
GGGGUGAUAGAAUGAUGAUAUAGGGUAUUUUGUGCUGGUCCUUAAGGUCUCUGAAUAGGGUGUGUAACAUUGGUUGGGCUGAAAAUGGCAUAUGUGCUGUUCUAUGCGCCCUAAUGCAAGCCUGGUUAAAAGCCCUAGAAUGAAACGAGAGGUUUUCUUCCUUUUAUGGUAUGCUCAUGAAUAUUUAGAUGAACUGCGUGCUGAUUGGUUGGUUUACAACGAGCGAAGCUCCGGAGCAAAGACGCAUACAUGACAGACAGCACUCACCUGAAACAGCCAAGGUGGAAAUACUAUGGAGACAUAGGUGUUGAACAGCAUAUUUGACCCUGAAUCAGAGGAAGAAUCUGAAAUAGAGGAGCAACCAGUCGCCCAUAGAUUGGAAAUGACUACUUCAGAGUGUUAUGAAAAGAAGGUUCCUGAGGAGCUGACCUGAAUGACCAUCAUGGCCUCGAUCCGUUGUGCCUCUAUAUUUAUUCUUUGCAAAAUGCAAUGAAUAUUUACAGAGCUGACCAUGGCCGUUUGAGAAUCAGAGGGAUGGAAAGGCAAUGAAGUGACUUGGCCUACAGGUCUUUUGUGAGCAGAUGCUUGGGUUUCCUUAGAAGAAGCGUCCGUGUCAUGAUCCCCCUCGUGUGUGGUGCUACGCAUAUGGAGGGAGCGUCCGGAUACUUCAGGGCAGUACGUUGGAUUCAGACCCCUUGUCGACUGAACCGUGACUCAUGUUCAGCAACAGCAUCUCCAUGGAAGGUCUGUCAAGCUGAGCCCACAAGUCCUGGGGCACAGGAAUCCGCUGGACGGCAUCCCAAUCAGGAAGAGGGUCUUUGAUGAUCUCGAAGAGAACAAGAAAGAGGACUUUUGGAUAUUGGAUACUGUAAUACAGUGCAUUGUAAGCUGUAUACUGUACAAUAAACAAAUUGUAUGGCCCUGAACAUUGUGCUUUGUUUACAGUACU